CGGGAUUAGAUACCCCGGUAGUCCACGCCCUAAACGAUGAGAACUAGCUGUUGGUUGCGUAAAUGCAGUCAGUAGCGAAGCUAACGCGUUAAGUUCUCCGCCUGGGGAGUACGACCGCAAGGUUGAAACUCAAAGGAAUUGACGGGGGCCCGCACAAGCGGUGGAGCAUGUGGUUUAAUUCGAUGCAACGCGAAGAACCUUACCAUCCCUUGACAUCCUGAGAAUUUCUCGUAAUGAGAAAGUGCCUUCGGGAACUCAGUGACAGGUGCUGCACGGCUGUCGUCAGCUCGUGUCGUGAGAUGUUGGGUUAAGUCCCGCAACGAGCGCAACCCCUAUCUUUAGUUGCCAGCACGUAAUGGUGGGAACUCUAGAGAGACUGCCGGUGAUAAGCCGGAGGAAGGUGGGGACGACGUCAAGUCAUCAUGGCCCUUACGGGAUGGGCUACACACGUGCUACAAUGGUGCAUACAGAGGGUUGCCAACCCGCGAGGGGGAGCUAAUCCCAGAAAGUGCAUCUUAGUCCGGAUCGCAGUCUGCAACUCGACUGCGUGAAGUUGGAAUCGCUAGUAAUCGCGAAUCAGCAAUGUCGCGGUGAAUACGUUCCCGGGCCUUGUACACACCGCCCGUCACACCAUGGGAGUGGGUUGCACCAGAAGUAGCUAGACUAACCUUCGGGAGGUCGGUUACCACGGUGUGGUUCAUGACUGGGGUGAAGUCGUAACAAGGUA
Molecule: ribosomal RNA, 727 nt
Filed under: uncultured bacterium
Lineage: Bacteria
Description: bacterial SSU rRNA
Rfam family: Bacterial small subunit ribosomal RNA
Source: RNAcentral